Molecule: ribosomal RNA, 73 nt
Filed under: Halomonas sp. SUBG004
Lineage: Bacteria; Pseudomonadati; Pseudomonadota; Gammaproteobacteria; Oceanospirillales; Halomonadaceae
Description: partial 16S ribosomal RNA
Rfam family: Bacterial small subunit ribosomal RNA (bases 1-65)
Source: RNAcentral
UCAUGACUGGGGUGAAGUCGUAACAAGGUAGCCGUAGGGGAACCUGCGGCUGGAUCACCUCCUUAACCGAUGA